GAUGAACGCUGGCGGCGUGCCUAAUACAUGCAAGUCGAGCGAACAGACCAUGAGCUUGCUCCUCUGACGUUAGCGGCUGACGGGUGAGUAACACGUGGAUAACCUACCUAUAUUUCUUGGAUAACUUCGUGAAACCGGUUCUUAUACCGCUUAAUAUAUUGAACCGCAUGGUUCAAUAGUUAAUGACGCUUUUGCUGUUUCUUUUAGCUGGUUCCGCGCGGCAUUAUGUAGUGGGUAGGGUAACGGCUUACCAGGGCGACGAUGCGAAGCAGACCUGAGAGGGUGAUCGGCCAAACAGGAGGGGAGAACCGGUCAAGAAUCCAACGGGAGGCAGCAGUGGGAAAACUUCAGCAAUGGGCGAAAGCCUAACGGAGCAACGCGGCGUGAGUGAUGAAGGUCUUCGGGUCGUAAAACUCUGUUAUUAGGAAAAAAAAAAUGAGUAAGUAACUAUGCAGGUCUUAAGGGAACCAAAAAAGAAGGCCAGGGCUAAUUACGU
Molecule: ribosomal RNA, 496 nt
Filed under: uncultured bacterium
Lineage: Bacteria
Description: partial 16S ribosomal RNA
Rfam family: Bacterial small subunit ribosomal RNA
Source: RNAcentral